This 473-nucleotide ribosomal RNA is filed under the name uncultured bacterium. RNAcentral describes it as "bacterial SSU rRNA". It matches the Rfam family "Bacterial small subunit ribosomal RNA", at positions 32 to 513 of the family's 1533-position model. The record is from RNAcentral.
AAUCAACGCUGGCGGCGUGCCUCAGACAUGCAAGUCGAACGAUUAAAGCUCUCUUCGGAGAGUGUAUAGAGUGGCGCACGGGUGAGUAACACGUAAGUAAUCUACCUUUGAGUGGGGAAUAACAGUCGGAAACGAUUGCUAAUACCGCAUAAUGCAGCGGCAUCGCAAGAUGACAGUUGUUAAAGGAGCAAUCCGCUUAAAGAGGAGCCUGCGGCAGAUUAGCUUGUUGGUAAGGUAACGGCUUACCAAGGCUACGAUCUGUAUCCGGUCUAAGAGGACGGUCGGACACACUGACACUGAAUAACGGGUCAGACUCCUACGGGAGGCAGCAGUCGGGAAUUUUGGGCAAUGGGCGAAAGCCUGACCCAGCAACGCCGCGUGAAGGAUGAAGUAUUUCGGUAUGUAAACUUCGAAAGAAUAGGAAGAAUAAAUGACGGUACUAUUUAUAAGCUCCGGCUAACUACGUGCCAGCA